AAUCAACGCUGGCGGCGUGCCUCAGACAUGCAAGUCGAACGAUUAAAGCUCUCUUCGGAGAGUGUAUAGAGUGGCGCACGGGUGAGUAACACGUAAGUAAUCUACCUUUGAGUGGGGAAUAACCCGGGGAAACCCGAGCUAAUACCGCAUAAUGCAGCGGCACCGCAAGGUGACAGUUGUUAAAGGAGCAAUCCGCUUAAAGAGGAGCUUGCGGCAGAUUAGCUAGUUGGUAAGGUAAUGGCUUACCAAGGCUACGAUCUGUAACCGGUCUAAGAGGACGGUCGGUCACACUGACACUGAAUAACGGGUCAGACUCCUACGGGAGGCAGCAGUCGGGAAUUUUGGGCAAUGGGCGAAAGCCUGACCCAGCAACGCCGCGUGAAGGAUGAAGU
Molecule: ribosomal RNA, 392 nt
Filed under: uncultured bacterium
Lineage: Bacteria
Description: bacterial SSU rRNA
Rfam family: Bacterial small subunit ribosomal RNA
Source: RNAcentral